Molecule: ribosomal RNA, 465 nt
Filed under: uncultured Klebsiella sp.
Lineage: Bacteria; Pseudomonadati; Pseudomonadota; Gammaproteobacteria; Enterobacterales; Enterobacteriaceae
Description: bacterial SSU rRNA
Rfam family: Bacterial small subunit ribosomal RNA
Source: RNAcentral
CCUACGGGCGGCAGCAGUGGGGAAUAUUGCACAAUGGGCGCAAGCCUGAUGCAGCCAUGCCGCGUGUGUGAAGAAGGCCUUCGGGUUGUAAAGCACUUUCAGCGGGGAGGAAGGCGUUAAGGUUAAUAACCUUGUCGAUUGACGUUACCCGCAGAAGAAGCACCGGCUAGCUCCGUGCCAGCAGCCGCGGUAAUACGGAGGGUGCAAGCGUUAAUCGGAAUUACUGGGCGUAAAGCGCACGCAGGCGGUCUGUCAAGUCGGAUGUGAAAUCCCCGGGCUCAACCUGGGAACUGCAUUCGAAACUGGCAGGGUAGAGUCUUGGAGAGGGGGGUAGAAUUCCAGGUGUAGGGGUGAAAUGCGUAGAGAUCUGGAGGAAUACCGGUGGCGAAGGCGGCCCCCUGGACAAAGACUGACGCUCAGGUGCGAAAGCGUGGGGAGCAAACAGGAUUAGAUACCCCGGUAGUC